RNAcentral lists this ribosomal RNA (451 nucleotides) under uncultured bacterium. RNAcentral's name for it is "partial 16S ribosomal RNA". It matches the Rfam family "Bacterial small subunit ribosomal RNA", at positions 354 to 796 of the family's 1533-position model. The record is from RNAcentral.
GUGGGGAAUAUUGGACAAUGGGGGGAACCCUGAUCCAGCCAUGCCGCGUGUGUGAAGAAGGCCUUUUGGUUGUAAAGCACUUUAAGCGAGGAGGAGGCUACCGAGAUUAAUACUCUUGGAUAGUGGACGUUACUCGCAGAAUAAGCACCGGCUAACUCUGUGCCAGCAGCCGCGGUCAUACAGAGGGUGCAAGCGUUAAUCGGAUUUACUGGGCGUAAAGCGCGCGUAGGUGGCCAAUUAAGUCAAAUGUGAAAUCCCCGAGCUUAACUUGGGAAUUGCAUUCGAUACUGGUUGGCUAGAGUAUGGGAGAGGAUGGUAGAAGUCCAGGUGUAGCGGUGAAAUGCGUAGAGAUCUGGAGGAAUACCGAUGGCGAAGGCAGCCAUCUGGCCUAAUACUGACACUGAGGUGCGAAAGCAUGGGGAGCAAACAGGAUUAGAAACCCUGGUAGUCC